UGGGGAAUAUUGGACAAUGGGCGAAAGCCUGAUCCAGCCAUGCCGCGUGUGUGAAGAAGGUCUUCGGAUUGUAAAGCACUUUAAGUUGGGAGGAAGGGCAUUAACCUAAUACGUUAGUGUUUUGACGUUACCGACAGAAUAAGCACCGGCUAACUCUGUGCCAGCAGCCGCGGUAAUACAGAGGGGGCAAGCGUUAAUCGGAAUUACUGGGCGUAAAGCGCGCGUACGUGGUUUGUUAAGUUGGAUGUGAAAUCCCCGGGCUCAACCUGGGAACUGCAUUCAAAACUGACUGACUAGAGUAUGGUAGAGGGUGGUGGAAUUUCCUGUGUAGCGGUGAAAUGCGUAGAUAUAGGAAGGAACACCAGUGGCGAAGGCGACCACCUGGACUAAUACUGACACUGAGGUGCGAAAGCGUGGGGAGCAAACA
Molecule: ribosomal RNA, 427 nt
Filed under: uncultured bacterium
Lineage: Bacteria
Description: partial 16S ribosomal RNA
Rfam family: Bacterial small subunit ribosomal RNA
Source: RNAcentral